AGACCGAUAGCGAACAAGUACAGUGAUGGAAAGAUGAAAAGCACUUUGAAAAGAGAGUGAAACAGCACGUGAAAUUGUUGAAAGGGAAGGGCUUGCAAGCAGACACGGUUUUACCGGGCCAGCGUCGAAAAGGGGGGAGGAACAAGAACUCGAGAAUGUGGCGCGCACCUUCGGGCGCGCGUGUUAUAGCUCGUGUUGACGCCUCCAUCCCUUUUUCGAGGCCUGCGAUUUCUAGGACGCUGGGCGUAAUGGUUGCAAGCCGCCCGUCUUGAAACACGGACCAAG
Molecule: ribosomal RNA, 285 nt
Filed under: Clavispora lusitaniae
Lineage: Eukaryota; Fungi; Ascomycota; Pichiomycetes; Serinales; Metschnikowiaceae
Description: partial large subunit ribosomal RNA
Rfam family: Eukaryotic large subunit ribosomal RNA
Source: RNAcentral